RNAcentral lists this ribosomal RNA (506 nucleotides) under uncultured bacterium. RNAcentral describes it as "bacterial SSU rRNA". It matches the Rfam family "Bacterial small subunit ribosomal RNA", at positions 30 to 526 of the family's 1533-position model. The record is from RNAcentral.
CUUGAACGCUGGCGGCGUGCCUAACACAUGCAAGUCGAGCGAUGAAGGGAGCUUGCUCCCGGAUUAGCGGCGCACGGGCGAGUAACGCGUGGAUAAUCUACCCACGAGAUCGGGAUACCAGCUGGAAACGGCUGACAAUACCGGGUAAUAUACAAUUUUACUAUUGUGUCAAAGGCGGGGCAACCUGUCGCUUGUGGAUGAGUCCGCGUCUCAUUAGCUAGUUGGUAAGGUAAUGGCUUACCAAGGCAGUGAUGAGUAGCCGGCCUGAGAGGGUAAUCGGCCACACGGGGAAUGGAACACGGCCCAGACUCCUACGGGAGGCAGCAGUGGGGAAUAUUGCGCAAUGGACGAAAGUCUGACGCAGCGACGCCGCGUGGGGGAUGAAGGCCUUCGGGUUGUAAACCUCUGUCAGGAGGGAAGAACCGCCAUGGUAGUAACUGCCCAUGGUCUGACGGUACCUCCAAAGGAAGCACCGGCUAACUCCGUGCCAGCAGCCGCCGUAAAAC